GACGAACGCUGGCGGCGUGCUUAACACAUGCAAGUCGAACGGAAAGGCCCUGCUUUUGUGGGGUGCUCGAGUGGCGAACGGGUGAGUAACACGUGAGUAACCUGCCCUUGACUUUGGGAUAACUUCAGGAAACUGGGGCUAAUACCGGAUAGGAGCUCCUGCUGCAUGGGGGGGGUUGGAAAGUUUCGGCGGUUGGGGAUGGACUCGCGGCUUAUCAGCUGGUUGGUGGGGUAGUGGCUUACCAAGGCUUUGACGGGUAGCCGGCCUGAGAGGGUGACCGGCCACAUUGGGACUGAGAUACGGCCCAGACUCCUACGGGCGGCAGAAGUGGGGAAUAUUGCACAAUGGGCGGACGCCUGAUGCAGCAACGCCGCGUGCGGGAUGACGGCCUUCGGGUUGUAAACCGCUUUCGCCUGUGACGAAGCGUGAGUGACGGUAAUGGGUAAAGAAGCACCGGCUAACUACGUG
This 468-nucleotide ribosomal RNA is filed under the name uncultured bacterium. RNAcentral describes it as "partial 16S ribosomal RNA". It matches the Rfam family "Bacterial small subunit ribosomal RNA", at positions 28 to 507 of the family's 1533-position model. The record is from RNAcentral.